UACGUAGGUGGCAAGCGUUGUCCGGAUUUACUGGGCGUAGAGAGCGCGCAGGCGGUCGUUCAAGUCGCGUGUGAAAGCCCCCGGCUCAACUGGGGAGGGUCACGCGAUACUGAUCGACUCGAAGGCAGGAGAGGGUAGUGGAAUUCCCGGUGUAGUGGUGAAAUGCGUAGAUAUCGGGAGGAACACCAGUGGCGAAGGCGACUUCCUGGCCUGUUCUUGACGCUGAGGCGCGAAAGCUAGGGGAGCAAACGGG
Molecule: ribosomal RNA, 253 nt
Filed under: uncultured bacterium
Lineage: Bacteria
Description: partial 16S ribosomal RNA
Rfam family: Bacterial small subunit ribosomal RNA
Source: RNAcentral